UACGGAGGGUGCAAACGUUGCUCGGAAUCAUUGGGCGUAAAGCGCGCGUAGGCGGUCCGGCAAGUCGGGUGUGAAAUCCCUCGGCUUAACCGAGGAAGUGCAUUCGAAACUACCGGACUUGAAUACUGGAGAGGGUCGCGGAAUUCCCGGUGUAGAGGUGAAAUUCGUAGAUAUCGGGAGGAACACCAGUGGCGAAGGCGGCGACCUGGACAGAUAUUGACGCUGAGGUUCGAAAGCGUGGGGAGCAAACAGG
RNAcentral lists this ribosomal RNA (253 nucleotides) under uncultured bacterium. RNAcentral's name for it is "partial 16S ribosomal RNA". It matches the Rfam family "Bacterial small subunit ribosomal RNA", at positions 524 to 776 of the family's 1533-position model. The record is from RNAcentral.